CCUACGGGAGGCAGCAGUGGGGAAUAUUGGACAAUGGGGGGAACCCUGAUCCAGCGACGCCGCGUGAGUGAAGAAGUAUUUCGGUAUGUAAAGCUCUAUCAGCAGGGAAGAAAAUGACGGUACCUGACUAAGAAGCCACGGUUAACUACGUGCAAGCAGCCGCGGUCAUACGUAGGGGGCACGCGUUAUCCGGAUUUACUGGGUGUAAAGGGAGCGUAGACGGGUCGCCAGGUCUGGAGGGAAAUGCCGCAGCUUAACUGCGGCACUUCUUUGGAAACUGGCGAACUAGAGUGCGGGAGGGGUAAGCGGAAUUCCUAGUGUAGCGGUGAAAUGCGUAGAUAUUAGGAGGAACACCGGUGGCGAAGGCGGCUUACUGGACCGUAACUGACGUUGAGGCUCGAAAGCGUGGGGAGCAAACAGGAUUAGAUACCCCAGUAGUC
This 440-nucleotide ribosomal RNA is filed under the name uncultured bacterium. RNAcentral's name for it is "partial 16S ribosomal RNA". It matches the Rfam family "Bacterial small subunit ribosomal RNA", at positions 338 to 795 of the family's 1533-position model. The record is from RNAcentral.